GCUCGCCUAUAGACUGCGCUGAAGCCGCACCAAGAAGAAUGUCGACUUACGUUCCCAAGCCAUCGCGCGACAACGUGUACCGGUUCUUCUUCACGGAGGGCGUGAUCGCGUGCAAGAAGGACCGCAUGGGCACCUGGACGGGCACCCUCGGCGGCAACACCUUCACGGUUCCGUGCAUUCAGGUGAUGCAGUUGAUGCGCUCUCUGAAGAGCCGCAACCUGAUCAAGGAGCAGUACGCGUGGCGCCACUACUACUGGACGCUCAACGACGAAGGUAUUGCGUACAUGCGCAGCUACCUGCAUCUCGCUCCGUCUGCGAUGCCGAACACGCAGAAGCCGAGCAGCGUGAACUUCGAGAAGGUGACAGAGGGCCGCGGCCGCGGUCGUGGCCGUGGUGGCCGCGGACGUGGCGAGGGCCGUGGCCGCGGGCGUGGUGAGGGCCGUGGCCGUGGUCGUGGCCGUGGCUUCGGUGGCGAGCGCACGAACUACCGUGCCGCUGCCGCUGCAUCGGAUGGUGAGGCCGCCCCAGCCCCGGCUGCGGAGUAGAUGCGCCUGGUUGCCGCUUGCAAGCACGUUUCUUCCGGCUUGCCAUGCGAAGCCCGUGCGAUAUCUUCUCGCCCUGCGCUGUGUGUUGUGCUCGUAAGUUCUGUUUUACUUUUCUAUGAUUCUCAUUUCCUUGUUUCUAACGACGUUCUACC
This 697-nucleotide unclassified non-coding RNA is filed under the name Leishmania donovani. RNAcentral describes it as "gene:LdHU3.36.1380(CDS-product:40S_ribosomal_prot ein_S10_putative)". The record is from RNAcentral. Lineage: Eukaryota; Euglenozoa; Kinetoplastea; Trypanosomatida; Trypanosomatidae.